Molecule: long non-coding RNA, 3437 nt
Organism: Prunus avium (sweet cherry)
Lineage: Eukaryota; Viridiplantae; Streptophyta; Magnoliopsida; Rosales; Rosaceae
Source: RefSeq, a predicted model, not a curated record
CUGAAUAUUAACAUUCAUUGCCUCCCCUGUCAUUUGCCAUGGGUGAAAAUGCUCUAAGAUCUCGCGACAGUCAGAAAAUCCUGGUAAUUGUUUGCUUCAGGCCCAUUACUUUCCCAAAUCAUGUUCGAAGUUUGAAUAGCGCUGACCUUUAGUCGAAUAUUAUUUGAUUUCCAAACCUCUCUCUCUCUUCACAAUUUGCAAACUUCUUCAUUCUUCAUUCUCUCUCUCUGUGAAAGUGAAAGUGAAACACAGUUGCGUUUGAGUUCACUAAGUAAAUCAAAAUCAGCGAAACCCUAAAUCCACCCACCCACUAUCUCAUUCUGAUCGAAUCGUUUUUGAAUUGAUCACUUUUUCACUUUCGUCAAUUUGUCUUCUUUCUUUUUCUGCGUUGUUGUUUAUGUGAAUUUGAAGAGUUGUGUUCUCUGUUCUUGGUUCUGGGAAUGAAGGGGAAAAUGGAAGGUGAUUUUCAGUUUGGGUCGAAUUCAAAUUCUUUGGAUCUUCUCUCUGAGGUUGCAGUUGUUGUCAAAGAUUGGGAGGAAGAAGAUGUUGAGAAGGCCAUGGCCAUGGCUUUGAGAAGCUGCUGCAACCCACUUCAGGGAUUUUGGUUUGAUUGGUAUUUGGUUUAUGACAAGGCCACGGUCAAAAUAACGAAUAGGUUUCAUCAUCAUCAUCAUUCGCCUUGGAUAUGUUGCUUCAAGUUACAAGCAAUCAAUUGAUGGAGUUGAAAAAAGCCAACACGUUCAGAGGCAUAUGCGUAGUCUUUCUUAUAAGUUGGAUGGCGGAAUCAUGAGAAUCGCAAGAAAGUCCUUUAGCCCUCCUCAUAUUGGAACUUUUAUUCCUUGGUAUCUGAUGGAUUGGGAUGGAAUCAUGAGAAUCAAUUGGCAAAAACAACCUUCUUGCCAAUUGAUUCUCAUGAUUCCAUCCCAAUCCAUCAGAGGAAGAAAAGGUCCAAUAUGAGGAGAAGACUAAAAGGGAUUUCUUGCCAAUUGAUUCUCAUGAUUCCGCCAUCCAACUUAUAAGAAAGGAUAUGCAAGAAUUAGAAAGGGUUUUGGCAGAGAAGGGUACUGUUGACUUCACACUCUUCCCAUUCAACGACAUUUGCAUGCACAAGAAGAAAGCUGCCAAAGUGAAUGCAAUGAAGCUCUGCUCAUUCCGGCUUAACUCCCCUUCCUGUUCAAACUGUUAGUGCAUACAUAUAAUGACUAGUCCUCUGUAAUUCUUGAGCAAUUCUUCUCUGUGGUUCUGAUUUCUACUUCCUUUCUUGAGCAACGAGGAAGAAAAAAGAGCCAACCAGUUCACUGCCUCAGUGAAGAGGUCGUUCAGAAAAUGCAAAUGAGAAUGAAGCACCGGUGGAGAGCAUUGCUUGUAAAUGAGGUAAGAUUCUUAUAAGCAACCAAAACUAAUCUCGAAAUUCAAAAUUAUGUGGUUGAAGAUAAGAGAAUAUUUAGCUCACAAUCAGACAUAUCACAUGGACCUCUCGUUGAAUUCUUAUAGCAGCCAAUAGUGACAAGCCUAAGCUCAUGAGUCCAUUUGGAGAGCGAUGAACAACAGAGUAAUGAGGAUGAAAUGUCUAUUGGUGCAGUGCAUAGCAUAUUUCUUGACCUUUUGACAAUUUGAUUUCUAACCAGCAUAUCCUGCUCUAUAUCCUUCAGGCAUAAUAUUUUUUUUAAAAAAAAUUUGGUUCGCCAUGCCAGCCUAUUAUUUUUAUGUUCAGUAACAGUGAACUUAUCUACUUUGACCACCUUCUUUUUGGCUACUUAUUAAUUAAUCUGACCAGAACCAGGAAUAAAGAAUAAAACAUUAGUUGAAGAAGAAUGAGAACUUUGUGUCAAGACUUUUCAGAAGUUUUUCCCUAAAAUAGUUACAUUAGGUUUCCAGAGUAAAUAUGAAACACUAAAAUGUAUUAGGUUUUGGUACACUAUUAAAUAGAGAUUCUUUUCCUCAAAAAGAAAAAAGUUUCUAAGUUUUCUUUACAUGGCUGUUCUUGUUGCUCUCUCUCUCUCCCUCUUCAUUUAUUUUUCUCCCAACCUUCUCAGUUUCAUCUCACUUUUUGAGGCUAUCAAAUAUCAGUUAUGUGCUUGGUGCAACAUUUCUGUAUAUGUACUAUGUUCACUGCAUUGAAAGUCUUGUUUACCUGAUUGUUCUUGUUGUUAGGUCUCUCUUUAUCCCCCUCCCCCUUUCCUCUUUUCCUGAUCUUCUCGCUUUCAUCUCAGUUUUUGAGGCUUUCAGGUAUCGGUUGUGUGCUUGGUGCAGGAUUUCUGAACAUGUACUGUGCUCACUAUACAAGGGAAGUUUCUCUAGAACUUAUAUUGAUCUAUAUUUUGCUAUGAAAUGCAAAUCACACUUAUGCAUCCAAAUCUUUCAAGGUGGCUAAGCAUUUUAAAUAAGUCUUGGAUGGUCUACCAGGUUUACGUUGUUUUUCAGCUGAUCAUAUGAAUUAUCUUGAUUGAUGAUUAUGUAUGGACAACUUGUCUGUCUUUCCUUGUAUGUUUAUUAAACUGUAAGCUCUCUUGUAUGAAAAAAGAGGUCGGUGUAUUCUUACUCUUGUUAGGUGAUAUCUUGCUUCCUUACUCUUGUUUUGGUUGGGAUUUCAUCUCAAAAGUAAAUUUAUAAUUGAAAUUAUUUCUUCUGAAAGGUUAUAUUUGACACAUGAUUGUUAUUUUUUUUGGGAUUCCUGAGCAAUGUUGUUUGAAAGAUUUUGUAGGGUUUGCAACAAAUUGAAUUUAUUCUUUGUUUAGCCGAAAAAAAAAAAGGUUAGAAAGAGGGUGAAAAAAGGCGUGAUGAUCCUAAAUGGCUCAACUUCACAUUCCCUGCUUGCAAAAUGGAUACUUCACAUGCCCCAUUCCCUUUAUUCUGAAAUUACAGCUAAAUUCUGAUACUUAGUUGUAAGAAAAUACUUAAAGCAUUUGGAUGGAAUGAAUUUGAUUCUUGCAUUUACCAAUUAUGAAGGAUUGAAUUGUAUUUGUGUAAUCUCUUCAAUGGAAUAAAAUUGUGCUAUGGUUUUCUCUCCAUGCCAAAAUUGAGACUCGCACACUGUUCUGUCUAUUUAUCAAAUUAUGAUGCAUUUCCUCAAAUUUAAUGCUUCAUAUUUGGAAUUGAAAUUCAUUUGUUAGAUAGAUUAUACGUAACUUGAUUUCUAAUUGUUAGCUGGUCACAACAUCAAUUCAAUGAGGCAUGAAAAGAAUGUGUCGACAUGUGAAAAAUAAGAGAACAGAAAACAGAAAGAGUGGCUGAGGGAAAUGAAAAUGUGUUUAUUCAUUGGAAUAUUGUAGUUGUAUAACGAUUCUAGUUUUGCUUUAAUUUGAACUUACAUAAUAUCAGGCAUGAAGCAAAUUUUAUCAGGAAUAUCAUUAACGAGAUCACUAGACGAUUGAACAACAGCUACCAUACAUGUAGCCCCCCUACCAAGUUGGAAUAGAUUUUCGGGUGCAAGCUAU